This 319-nucleotide ribosomal RNA is filed under the name uncultured eukaryote. Its description in RNAcentral is "partial 18S ribosomal RNA". It matches the Rfam family "Eukaryotic small subunit ribosomal RNA", at positions 1470 to 1796 of the family's 1831-position model. The record is from RNAcentral.
CCCUUAGAUGUUCUGGGCCGCACGCGUGCUACACUGAGUGGAUCAGCGGGUCAGGUUGCGCGAAAGCGUUUCCUAAUCUUUAAAUCCGCUCGUGAUGGGGAUUGACGGUUGCAAUUUUCUGUCAUGAACGAGGAAUACCUUGUAAGCGCGGGUCAUCAUCCCGCGCUGAAUACGUCCCUGCCCUUUGUACACACCGCCCGUCGCUCCUACCGAUUGAGUGGUCCGGUGAGCCAUUCGGACCUUCAUCAUGCCGGUUUCCGGUUUUGAUGAGGGAAAGUCUUGCGAACCUUAUCAUUUAGAGGAAGGAGAAGUCGUAACA